GAUGCAGCGACGCCGCGUGAGGGAUGACGGCCUUCGGGUUGUAAACCUCUUCUAGCAAGGACGAAGCGCAAGUGACGGUACCUGCAGAAGAAGCACCGGCCAACUACGUGCCAGCAGCCGCGGUAAUACGUAGGGUGCGAGCGUUGUCCGGAAUUACUGGGCGUAAAGAGCUCGUAGGCGGUUUGUCGCGUCGUCUGUGAAAUCCCGCAGCUCAACUGCGGGCUUGCAGGCGAUACGGGCAGACUCGAGUACUGCAGGGGAGACUGGAAUUCCUGGUGUAGCGGUGAAAUGCGCAGAUAUCAGGAGGAACACCGGUGGCGAAGGCGGGUCUCUGGGCAGUAACUGACGCUGAGGAGCGAAAGCGUGGGUAGCGAACAGGAUUAGAUACCCUGGUAGUCCACGCCGUAAACGGUGGGCGCUAGGUGUGGGUUUCCUUCCACGGGAUCCGUGCCGUAGCCAACGCAUUAAGCGCCCCGCCUGGGGAGUACGGCCGCAAGGCUAAAACUCAAAUGAAUUGACGGGG
Molecule: ribosomal RNA, 523 nt
Filed under: Rhodococcus gordoniae
Lineage: Bacteria; Bacillati; Actinomycetota; Actinomycetes; Mycobacteriales; Nocardiaceae
Description: bacterial SSU rRNA
Rfam family: Bacterial small subunit ribosomal RNA
Source: RNAcentral